AGAGUUUGAUCCUGGCUCAGGACGAACGCUGGCGGCGUGCCUAACACAUGCAAGUCGAGCGGGGUCCAUCCAGUGGCAACACUGGGGAAGACCUAGCGGCGAACGGGUGAGUAACACGUGAGGAACCUGCCCCGAAGACCGGGAUAACCCGAGGAAACUCGAGCUAAUACCGGAUACCCCCACGAGAUCGCAUGGUCUUGUGAGGAAAUGUCUUUUCGCUUCGGGAGGGCCUCGCGGCCUAUCAGCUAGUUGGCGGGGUAACGGCCCACCAAGGCAUCGACGGGUAGCUGGUCUGAGAGGACGAUCAGCCACACUGGGACUGAGACACGGCCCAGACUCCUACGGGAGGCAGCAGUGGGGAAUCUUGCGCAAUGGGCGAAAGCCUGACGCAGCAACGCCGCGUGGGGGACGAAGGCUCUCGGGUUGUAAACCCCUUUCAGGAGGGACGAAAUUGACGGUACCUCCAGAAGAAGCCCCGGCCAACUACGUGCCAGCAGCCGCGGUAACACGUAGGGGGCGAGCGUUGUCCGGAUUUAUUGGGCGUAAAGAGCUCGUAGGUGGCUCGGUAAGUCGGGUGUGAAAUUUCGAGGCUCAACCUCGAGACGCCACCUGAUACUGCUGUGGCUAGAGUCCGGUAGGGGAGCGUGGAAUUCCUGGUGUAGCGGUGAAAUGCGCAGAUAUCAGGAGGAACACCAGCGGCGAAGGCGGCGCUCUGGGCCGGUACUGACACUGAGGAGCGAAAGCGUGGGGAUCAAACAGGAUUAGAUACCCUGGUAGUCCACGCCGUAAACGUUGGGCACUAGGUGUGGGGUUCUAUCAACGGACUCCGUGCCGAAGCUAACGCAUUAAGUGCCCCGCCUGGGGAGUACGGCCGCAAGGCUAAAACUC
This 888-nucleotide ribosomal RNA is filed under the name uncultured bacterium. RNAcentral describes it as "bacterial SSU rRNA". It matches the Rfam family "Bacterial small subunit ribosomal RNA", at positions 8 to 902 of the family's 1533-position model. The record is from RNAcentral.